RNAcentral lists this long non-coding RNA (375 nucleotides) under Cercocebus atys (sooty mangabey). RNAcentral's name for it is "lncRNA (ENSCATG00000045555.1)". Lineage: Eukaryota; Metazoa; Chordata; Mammalia; Primates; Cercopithecidae. The record is from RNAcentral.
GGGUGAUCAUGGGAUUCAAGGGAAGGAUGUUCCUGGUCUGAGGGGCUUCCCAGGAGACAAAGGCCUCCUAGGCACUGCUGGCUCUCCUGGACCCCCUGGGCUCAUCGGUCUAUGGAACAGCCUGGAGCAGUGGGAGCAGAUUGGGAGCCCGGAGCUCAUGGACCCCAGGGAUACUUUGGAGCCAGAGUGUGCGGAGCCAAAGGCAAUAAAGGAACAAGAGGAUUCACGGACCUACAGGAUCCACAAGGUCCCCUGAGAGGUGUUGGGGACCUGGGUCCUCCUGGAGAGAAGGUAAUUGGGAAAGGGCUGAAGGGGAUGAAGGGACCAGUCUUGUGGAUGAGGAAUGAGAGUUGGAUUUCUGCCAAUUUUUGUUGA